GAGACAGCAGUAGCCACGGGAAUACGAAGGGGGCUAGCGUUGUUCGGAUUUACUGGGCGUAAAGGGUGCGUAGGCGGAUUGUUAAGUCAGGGGUGAAAUCCCGAGGCUCAACCUCGGAACUGCCUUUGAUACUGGCGAUCUUGAGUCCGGGAGAGGUGAGUGGAACUGCGAGUGUAGAGGUGAAAUUCGUAGAUAUUCGCAAGAACACCGGUGGCGAAGGCGGCUCACUGGCCCGGAACUGACGCUGAGGCACGAAAGCGUGGGGAGCAAACAGGAUUAGAUACCCCUGUAGUCCCUGUCUCUUAUAC
RNAcentral lists this ribosomal RNA (308 nucleotides) under uncultured bacterium. Its description in RNAcentral is "partial 16S ribosomal RNA". It matches the Rfam family "Bacterial small subunit ribosomal RNA", at positions 505 to 807 of the family's 1533-position model. The record is from RNAcentral.